CUUGAAGUCUUAGUGGCGCAGCUAACGCACUAAGUAGACCGCCUGGGGAGUACGGCCGCAAGGUUAAAACUCAAAUGAAUUGACGGGGGCCCGCACAAGCGGUGGAGCAUGUGGUUUAAUUCGACGCAACGCGAAGAACCUUACCUGGCCUUGACAUGCAGAGAACUUUCCAGAGAUGGAUUGGUGCCUUCGGGAACUCUGACACAGGUGCUGCAUGACCGUCGUCAGCUCGUGUCGUGAGAUGUUGGGUUAAGUCCCGUAACGAGCGCAACCCCUAUCCCUAGUUGCUAGCAGUUCGGCUGAGAACUCUAGGGAGACUGCCGGUGACAAACCGGAGGAAGGUGGGGAUGACGUCAGGUCAUCAUGGCCCUUACGGCCAGGGCUACACACGUGCUACAAUGGUGCGUACAGAGGGCUGCAAACCCGCGAGGGGGAGCUAAUCUCACAAAACGCAUCGUAGUCCGGAUCGGAGUCUGCAACUCGACUCCGUGAAGUCGGAAUCGCUAGUAAUCGCGAAUCAGAAUGUCGCGGUGAAUACGUUCCCGGGCCUUGUACACACCGCCCGUCACACCAUGGGAGUGGAUUGCACCAGAAGUGGUUAGUCUAACCUUCGGGAGGA
This 619-nucleotide ribosomal RNA is filed under the name uncultured bacterium. RNAcentral describes it as "bacterial SSU rRNA". It matches the Rfam family "Bacterial small subunit ribosomal RNA", at positions 831 to 1450 of the family's 1533-position model. The record is from RNAcentral.